GCGGCAUGCCUAACACAUGCAAGUCGAACGGGUUGUACUUCGGUACAGCUAGUGGCGGACGGGUGAGUAACACAUAGGAAUCUGCCCGAGAGUGGGGGAUAACCCAGGGAAACUUGGAUUAAUACCGCAUGAUCUCUACGGAGCAAAGCUGGGGACCUUCGGGCCUGGCGCUUUUGGAGGAGCCUAUGUCUGAUUAGCUUGUUGGUGAGGUAACGGCUCACCAAGGCGACGAUCAGUAACUGGUCUGAGAGGACGACCAGUCACACCGGAACUGAGACACGGUCCGGACUCCUACGGGAGGCAGCAGUGGGGAAUAUUGGACAAUGGGCGAAAGCCUGAUCCAGCAAUGCCGCGUGUGUGAAGAAGGCCUUCGGGUUGUAAAGCACUUUAGGAUGGAAAGAAAAAACUUCAGUUAAUAGCUGAAGUCUUGACGGUACCAUCAGAAUAAGCACCGGCUAACUCUGUGCCAGCAGCCGCGGUAAUACAGAGGGUGCAAGCGUUAAUCGGA
This 508-nucleotide ribosomal RNA is filed under the name uncultured Nevskia sp. Its description in RNAcentral is "bacterial SSU rRNA". It matches the Rfam family "Bacterial small subunit ribosomal RNA", at positions 39 to 549 of the family's 1533-position model. Lineage: Bacteria; Pseudomonadati; Pseudomonadota; Gammaproteobacteria; Nevskiales; Nevskiaceae. The record is from RNAcentral.